AGAUGAGGAGAGAGGUGGAGAGAGAGAUGAGGAGAGAGGUGGAGAGAGAGAUGAGGAGAGAGGUGGAGAGAGAGAUGAGGAGAGAGGUGGAGAGAGAGAUGAGGAGAGAGGUGGAGAGAGAGAUGAGGAGAGAGGUGGAGAGAGAGAUGAGGAGAGAGGUGGAGAGAGAGAUGAGGAGAGAGGUGGAGAGAGAGAUGAGGAGAGAGGUGGAGAGAGAGAUGAGGAGAGAGGUGGAGAGAGAGAUGAGGAGAGAGGUGGAGAGAGAGAUGAGGAGAGAGGUGGAGAGAGAGAUGAGGAGAGAGGUGGAGAGAGAGAUGAGGAGAGAGGUGGAGAGAGAGAUGAGGAGAGAGGUGGAGAGAGAGAUGAGGAGAGAGGUGGAGAGAGAGAUGAGGAGA
This is a long non-coding RNA of Eriocheir sinensis (Chinese mitten crab), 395 nucleotides long. RefSeq lists it as uncharacterized. The transcript has 4 exons. The record is from RefSeq and is a predicted model, not a curated record. NCBI's taxonomy places the organism in Eukaryota, Metazoa, Arthropoda, Malacostraca, Decapoda, Varunidae.